Molecule: ribosomal RNA, 253 nt
Filed under: uncultured bacterium
Lineage: Bacteria
Description: partial 16S ribosomal RNA
Rfam family: Bacterial small subunit ribosomal RNA
Source: RNAcentral
UACAGAGGGGGCAAGCGUUAUUCGGAAUUAUUGGGCGUAAAGGGCGCGUAGGCGGUGGUGCAAGUGGAAGGUGAAAUCCCUCGGCUCAACCGAGGAACUGCCUUUCAAACUGCGCUACUUGAGUCCGGGAGAGGUGAGUGGAAUUCCCAGUGUAGCGGUGAAAUGCGUAGAUAUUGGGAGGAACACCAGUGGCGAAGGCGGCUCACUGGACCGGAACUGACGCUGAGGCGCGAAAGCGUGGGGAGCAAACGGG